This 293-nucleotide small RNA is filed under the name Coniochaeta ligniaria NRRL 30616. Its description in RNAcentral is "5' ureB small RNA". It matches the Rfam family "5' ureB small RNA". Lineage: Eukaryota; Fungi; Ascomycota; Sordariomycetes; Coniochaetales; Coniochaetaceae. The record is from Rfam by way of RNAcentral.
UCGUAUGCCUGCUGCGGGCAGAUGAAGUGGAUGUGCGUGUCGAGUCCGCCAGCCGUGAUGAUCUUGCCCUCGCCGGCAACGACAUCGGUACAGCUGCCCACGAUCAUACCCUCCGUAACGCCAUCCAUAACGUCCGGGUUACCAGCCUUUCCAAUGCCCACAAUCAGCCCGUCCUUCACACCAAUAUCCGCCUUGUAAAUCCCGCUCCAGUCGACAAUCAACGCAUUCGUCACAACCAUAUCCAGACUAUCCUUAUCCGACCGCCCCGUCGCCUGUCCCAUGCCCUCUCUCAG